UGGGUAACCUGCCUCAAAGAGGGGAAUAGCCUUCCGAAAGGAAGAUUAAUACCGCAUAAUAUGUUUUGAUCGCAUGAUCAGAAUAUCAAAGGAGUAAUCCGCUUUGAGAUGGACCCGCGGCGCAUUAGCUAGUUGGUGAGGUAACGGCUCACCAAGGCGACGAUGCGUAGCCGACCUGAGAGGGUGAUCGGCCACAUUGGAACUGAGACACGGUCCAGACCUCGUACGGGAG
Molecule: ribosomal RNA, 232 nt
Filed under: uncultured bacterium
Lineage: Bacteria
Description: partial 16S ribosomal RNA
Rfam family: Bacterial small subunit ribosomal RNA
Source: RNAcentral